Molecule: small nuclear RNA, 163 nt
Filed under: Canis lupus familiaris (dog)
Lineage: Eukaryota; Metazoa; Chordata; Mammalia; Carnivora; Canidae
Also listed under: 1 other name
Description: U1 spliceosomal RNA
Rfam family: U1 spliceosomal RNA
About the family: U1 is a small nuclear RNA (snRNA) component of the spliceosome (involved in pre-mRNA splicing). Its 5' end forms complementary base pairs with the 5' splice junction, thus defining the 5' donor site of an intron. There are significant differences in sequence and secondary structure between metazoan and yeast U1 snRNAs, the latter being much longer (568 nucleotides as compared to 164 nucleotides in human).
Source: Rfam by way of RNAcentral
AUACUUACCUGGCAGGGGAGAUACCAUGAUCACGAAGGUGGUUUUCCCAGGGCGAGGCUCAUCCAUUGCACUCCGGAUGUGCUGACCCCUGCGAUUUCCCCAAAUGUGGGAAACUCGACUGCAUAAUUUGUGGUAGUGGGGACUGCGUUCGCGCUCUCCCCUG